GCGCCGGUUGUGCAACGGUUAGCUACGCUCCCGAAAAGAUUAAGAUCUGGGUUCGAAUCCCGGCUGACGUA
This is a non-coding RNA of Parelaphostrongylus tenuis, 71 nucleotides long. NCBI's taxonomy places the organism in Eukaryota, Metazoa, Nematoda, Chromadorea, Rhabditida, Metastrongylidae. The record is from the annotation of a GenBank genome assembly.